Lagopus leucura (white-tailed ptarmigan) is the source of this 1844-nucleotide long non-coding RNA. RefSeq lists it as uncharacterized. The record is from RefSeq and is a predicted model, not a curated record. The transcript has 2 exons. NCBI's taxonomy places the organism in Eukaryota, Metazoa, Chordata, Aves, Galliformes, Phasianidae.
UGGAUGCUUCUGUCUUGCUUUGCUGAUCCUACUUCUCCCAUCCACUGCAGCUGUAACACAGCAAGGGCAACACAGCAGCAUAAGGUUAUAAAGCAUUCUGCCCUGCAUACAGUACCUUGCAAUAGCAAAACAAGUGGGGUGCUGACCCUUAGAAAAUUAUUUGGAAGUUCUUAUUGUCACUGCAGUUGUCUUUUAACCUUGUUGAAGUCAAGCAUUUUUGUCUUCUUUCUGAACUGCUUUCUGAUCAUUCUGACAAAGUAGAUGCUCUUUGAUAUCCUGCUCAGUGGUGUGAAUUUAGAAGUGUUUCUCUAUUGUUUUCUUGCCAAGUUGCUUCAUGCGAGGAGCUUUUCCUCCACAGUGUAUGGGUUUGCUAUUUUCUCUUUAAACUGAUUGCUGUACGAGGCUGGCCAUGUGCUUAUUGUGCCCAGUUAAUAAGAGACAAGACAAAAACUCUGGGGAAGAAAAAGCUCACAAGCCAUUUCAGUAGAGCGCUAACAACCAGUGCUGAAUUAGACAUCAAUGUGUUACAUUUGAUCCUCAUUUUUGUUUUGUUUCCAUGCCUUAGAAUGUACAACAAAAUUUUAGGCGUGAGUUUAAGGGGAAUAACCAUGCAGUGGUGUCAGAACUAGUGUUCCUGAGCUGGACAGUGGACCAACCCCACAUAACUGGCUGAAAGAAUAUAGAAAGUAUCUUGGUCAUUUAAUCCAAAAGGAUGCUAUGAGAAACUGCACUGAAAGCACUGCUGAAAUACAAAGGUUACAUCUAUUGAAUUCUAUUGGCGGCCUUAGUAGCCUCACCUGCUCCUUUCUUUUCAACAAACAGGCAUAUAGCAGCAUUCCUAAUGAACAUAGCAGCUGUAGUCCUGCUGUCAGGACUUGAUUUUUCCAAUGCAGGGAAACAAGAGCAUGGAGACAGAAGGAAAUUGAUCAAACCAAUAUUUGUAUGUACUGUCUGUUUUUUCACCUUGUUUUGAUUGUAAAGUUCAGCUCAAAUAACUACAAAAUUGUCCCAAUGUUACUCAGAUUCUGUGCAUGACUGUAAGUGUCCAUUGCCACUCAUGAUAUUUACUCUUUAAAAAACAGAAAUACAUAACAGUUAAACAAAAAUACAGAAUGCAUAAAUACACUUGAAGUCCUUCCCUUUAAUGCUGCUGGACAAUUCAAGUUUUUGGCUUAUGUUUAAGCAUACAAGUAGCUUUUUCUAUCUAUGGAAUAAGUUUUUGUCACCUAGCCUCACUUUGAAAAAGUUCUUUGCAUUUCCUAUGGAAGAAUAAAAGUAAUUUCCAUAUAUUCAGCUCUACUUGAACUCCAAAAAAUAGUUAGCACACAAUGUGUGAUCUCUUUGAAAUCUCCUAAAAAAUCUGCGACUAGUUUUACUGUUUUAAAAAAAAAAAAAAAAGACAAACAAAACUAGGGAAUCAAAAGCAAAGGAAUAUUAAUCAGUAAAAAUAAAACUAAGUUCAAACUUUGAAUUAGUUCCAUUGACUUUUUUCUAAUCUAAAUGUAGAGAGAUGUGAAUGCUUUUUUCCCCAGUUAUGUAUUUUGGUGUGUAGAUUGAACAGUUAAAACAAAAAAGAAACUUAAUUUUUUUCUUUUCUAAAAUUUUAUCUCUAUGUCAUUAUUUUAUUGCUGAUAAACUUUACAAUUCAUAAAUAAGCACAUUACUUUUUCAAAGUGUUUUCCUAGAACAGUUUAGAUACCUGUGUAAAGCAAUCGUGUGGUAAGAAAUUUAAAGGCAACAUUUUUUAUGAAAAGAUGGGAUUUCUGUAUUCUUAAUCAGUAAUGAUCAACUGUUCUUGAUUUGAGCACUGAUAAUACAAUAAAACAACUUUUUGUUAUUUAUUA